RNAcentral lists this ribosomal RNA (699 nucleotides) under uncultured Alphaproteobacteria bacterium. RNAcentral describes it as "bacterial SSU rRNA". It matches the Rfam family "Bacterial small subunit ribosomal RNA", at positions 28 to 776 of the family's 1533-position model. The record is from RNAcentral. Lineage: Bacteria; Pseudomonadati; Pseudomonadota; Alphaproteobacteria.
AACGAACGCUGGCGGCAUGCUACACAUGCAAGUCGAACGAGAUCUUCGGAUCUAGUGGCGCACGGGUGCGUAACACGUGGGAAUCUGCCCUUUGGUUCGGAAUAACUCAGGGAAACUUGAGCUAAUACCGGAUGAUGACGUAAGUCCAAAGAUUUAUCGCCAAAGGAUGAGCCCGCGUAGGAUUAGCUAGUUGGUAGGGUAAAGGCCUACCAAGGCGACGAUCCUUAGCUGGUCUGAGAGGAUGAUCAGCCACACUGGGACUGAGACACGGCCCAGACUCCUACGGGAGGCAGCAGUGGGGAAUAUUGGACAAUGGGGGAAACCCUGAUCCAGCAAUGCCGCGUGAGCGAUGAAGGCCUUAGGGUUGUAAAGCUCUUUUACCCGGGAUGAUAAUGACAGUACCGGGAGAAUAAGCCCCGGCUAACUCCGUGCCAGCAGCCGCGGUAAUACGGAGGGGGCUAGCGUUGUUCGGAAUUACUGGGCGUAAAGCGCACGUAGGCGGCUAUUCAAGUCAGGGGUGAAAGCCCGGGGCUCAACCCCGGAAUUGCCCUUGAAACUAGAUAGCUAGAAUCAUGGAGAGGUGAGUGGAAUUCCGAGUGUAGAGGUGAAAUUCGUAGAUAUUCGGAAGAACACCAGUGGCGAAGGCGGCUCACUGGACAUGUAUUGACGCUGAGUGCGAAAGCGUGGGGAGCAAGCAGG